Molecule: ribosomal RNA, 475 nt
Filed under: uncultured bacterium
Lineage: Bacteria
Description: bacterial SSU rRNA
Rfam family: Bacterial small subunit ribosomal RNA
Source: RNAcentral
ACUCCUACGGGAGGGCAGCAGUAGGGAAUCUUCCACAAUGGGCGCAAGCCUGAUGGAGCAACACCGCGUGAGUGAAGAAGGGUUUCGGCUCGUAAAGCUCUGUUGUUAAAGAAGAACACGUAUGAGAGUAACUGUUCAUACGUUGACGGUAUUUAACCAGAAAGUCACGGCUAACUACGUGCCAGCAGCCGCGGUAAUACGUAGGUGGCAAGCGUUAUCCGGAUUUAUUGGGCGUAAAGAGAGUGCAGGCGGUUUUCUAAGUCUGAUGUGAAAGCCUUCGGCUUAACCGGAGAAGUGCAUCGGAAACUGGAUAACUUGAGUGCAGAAGAGGGUAGUGGAACUCCAUGUGUAGCGGUGGAAUGCGUAGAUAUAUGGAAGAACACCAGUGGCGAAGGCGGCUACCUGGUCUGCAACUGACGCUGAGACUCGAAAGCAUGGGGUAGCGAACAGGAUUAGAUACCCUGGUAGGAUAGCG